GACGAACGCUGGCGGCGUGCUUAACACAUGCAAGUCGAACGGAAAGGCCCUGCUUUUGUGGGGUGCUCGAUUGGCGAACGGGUGAGUAACACGUGAGUAACCUGCCCUUGACUUUGGGAUAACUUCAGGAAACUGGGGCUAAUACCGGAUAGGAGAUCCUGCUGCAUGUUGGGGGUUGGAAAGUUUCGGCGGUUGGGGAUGGACUCGCGGCUUAUCAGCUUGUUGGUGGGGUAGUGGCUUUCCAAGGCUUUGACGGGUAGCCGGCCUGGGAGGGUGACCGGCCACAGUGGGACUGAGAUAGGGCCCAGACUCCUACGGGAGGCAGCAGUGGGGAAUAUUGCACAAUGGGCGGAAGCCGGAUGCAGCAACGCCGCGUGCGGGAUGACGGCCUUCGGGUUGUAAACCGCUUUCGCGUGUGACGAAGCGUGAGUGACGGUAAUGGGUAAAGAAGCACCGGCUAACUACGU
This 467-nucleotide ribosomal RNA is filed under the name uncultured bacterium. RNAcentral's name for it is "partial 16S ribosomal RNA". It matches the Rfam family "Bacterial small subunit ribosomal RNA", at positions 28 to 506 of the family's 1533-position model. The record is from RNAcentral.